This 426-nucleotide long non-coding RNA is filed under the name Chinchilla lanigera (long-tailed chinchilla). Its description in RNAcentral is "lncRNA (ENSCLAG00000028620.1)". The record is from RNAcentral. Lineage: Eukaryota; Metazoa; Chordata; Mammalia; Rodentia; Chinchillidae.
GUUUUCCAGUACAGUAGGGUGACUAUAGUUAACAGCAAAGUAUUAAAUAUUUAAAAAUACUUUGCUCUUUUUCAAAGGGUUUGGGAAAGGUAGCUGUCUUUUAGGAAGAAGACUCAGAGUAUUGGGACAAGAGCGCCUAGGCCAUGUUUGCUGGGUCCCCUGGAGAAAUAGAAUCAACCCAUCUACAUUUAGACCUUGGCUUCCUAAUGUUAUCAGGUGAUUCUGUGAGCAUAAAAAUAAAGCUGUGCUUUUUGGAAACGGAAAGUCUCAUUAUGUUUGAGAUUUGAAUUCCACAAAAGAGACACCAUGUUAGACUUCCUUGACCUCCUUUCAGUAAUACAGUUACUGUUUUGAGAGUACCUUGAUACUCUCAAGUACUGAGCGAGGAACAUUCACAGACGUUAUUUCAUCAGCUGAGUGUAAAAA